GUUUUGCGUGAGGGAUAGCAGCGGCAUCCUUUUGUGAAGUGCUAACGGAACAAAAGAUAAAGCGCAUAGCCCGACGGCUU
This 80-nucleotide small RNA is filed under the name Flavobacterium sp. FPG59. Its description in RNAcentral is "Flavo-1 RNA". It matches the Rfam family "Flavo-1 RNA". The record is from Rfam by way of RNAcentral. RNAcentral also lists the same sequence under 1 other name. Lineage: Bacteria; Pseudomonadati; Bacteroidota; Flavobacteriia; Flavobacteriales; Flavobacteriaceae.